GACGAACGCUGGCGGCGUGCUUAACACAUGCAAGUCGAACGGAAAGGCCCUGCUUUUGUGGGGUGCUCGAGUGGCGAACGGGUGGGUAACACGUGAGUAACCUGCCCUUGACUUUGGGAUAACUUCAGGAAACUGGGGCUAAUACCGGAUAGGAGCUCCUGCUGCAUGGUGGGGGUUGGAAAGUUUCGGCGGUUGGGGAUGGACUCGCGGCUUAUCAGCUUGUUGGUGGGGUAGUGGCUUACCAAGGCUUUGACGGGUAGCCGGCCUGAGAGGGUGACCGGCCACAUUGGGACUGAGAUACGGCCCAGACUCCUACGGGAGGCAGCAGUGGGGAAUAUUGCACAAUGGGCGGAAGCCUGAUGCAGCAACGCCGCGUGCGGGAUGACGGCCUUUGGGUUGUAAACCGCUUUCGCCUGUGACGAAGCGUGAGUGACGGUAAUGGGUAAAGAAGCACCGGCUAACUACGUG
RNAcentral lists this ribosomal RNA (468 nucleotides) under uncultured bacterium. RNAcentral describes it as "partial 16S ribosomal RNA". It matches the Rfam family "Bacterial small subunit ribosomal RNA", at positions 28 to 507 of the family's 1533-position model. The record is from RNAcentral.